AUUGAACGCUGGCGGCAUGCCUUACACAUGCAAGUCGAACGGCAGCACGGGAGCAAUCCUGGUGGCGAGUGGCGAACGGGUGAGUAAUAUAUCGGAACGUGCCCAGUCGUGGGGAUAACGUAGCGAAAGCUACGCUAAUACCGCAUACGAUCUAUGGAUGAAAGCGGGGGAUCGCAAGACCUCGCGCGAUUGGAGCGGCCGAUAUCAGAUUAGGUAGUUGGUGAGGUAAAGGCUCACCAAAGCCGACGAUCUGUAGCUGGUCUGAGAGGACGACCAGCCACACUGGGACUGAGACACGGCCCAGACUCCUACGGAGGCAGCAGUGGGGAAUUUUGGACAAUGGGCGCAAGCCUGAUCCAGCAAUGCCGCGUGCAGGAUGAAGGCCUCGG
This 389-nucleotide ribosomal RNA is filed under the name uncultured bacterium. RNAcentral's name for it is "bacterial SSU rRNA". It matches the Rfam family "Bacterial small subunit ribosomal RNA", at positions 30 to 420 of the family's 1533-position model. The record is from RNAcentral.